This 71-nucleotide transfer RNA is filed under the name Stegodyphus mimosarum. It matches the Rfam family "tRNA". Rfam says of the family: Transfer RNA (tRNA) molecules are approximately 80 nucleotides in length. Their secondary structure includes four short double-helical elements and three loops (D, anti-codon, and T loops). Lineage: Eukaryota; Metazoa; Arthropoda; Arachnida; Araneae; Eresidae. The record is from Rfam by way of RNAcentral.
GCUUUUGUGGUGUAAUGGUAGCACACUCAGCGCAUAUUCAAGAAGUCCAGGUUCGAAUCCCAGCGAGGGCA